Molecule: transfer RNA, 72 nt
Filed under: Phytophthora infestans (potato late blight agent)
Lineage: Eukaryota; Oomycota; Peronosporomycetes; Peronosporales; Peronosporaceae
Also listed under: 1 other name
Rfam family: tRNA
About the family: Transfer RNA (tRNA) molecules are approximately 80 nucleotides in length. Their secondary structure includes four short double-helical elements and three loops (D, anti-codon, and T loops).
Source: Rfam by way of RNAcentral
GCCCUUUUAGCUCAGUGGUCGAGUGCUGGCUUUGGAAGCCACAGGUCGGUGGCUCAAAUCCACCCCGGCGCA